GACGAACGUUGGCGGCGUGCUUAACACAUGCAAGUCGAGCGGUAAGGCCCUUUCGGGGGUACACGAGCGGCGAACGGGUGAGUAACACGUGGGUGACCUGCCCUCAGCUCUGGGAUAAGCCCGGGAAACUGGGUCUAAUACCGGAUAUGACUUCAUGACGCAUGUUGUGGAGUGGAAAGCCUUGUGCGGCUGAGGAUGGGCCCGCGGCCUAUCAGCUUGUUGGUGGGGUGAUGGCCUACCAAGGCGACGACGGGUAGCCGGCCUGAGAGGGCGACCGGCCACACUGGGACUGAGAUACGGCCCAGACUCCUACGGGAGGCAGCAGUGGGGAAUCUUGCGCAAUGGGCGAAAGCCUGACGCAGCGACGCCGCGUGAGGGAUGACGGCCUCGGUGUAA
RNAcentral lists this ribosomal RNA (396 nucleotides) under uncultured bacterium. RNAcentral's name for it is "bacterial SSU rRNA". It matches the Rfam family "Bacterial small subunit ribosomal RNA", at positions 28 to 428 of the family's 1533-position model. The record is from RNAcentral.